AAAUAUGAAGCGAUUUAUUGCAAUUAGUUUCGACCUAAUUUUAGGUAAUUUUACCCAUAUUUU
RNAcentral lists this transfer RNA (63 nucleotides) under Diptera sp. 79 LC-2017. RNAcentral describes it as "tRNA-Arg". The record is from RNAcentral. Lineage: Eukaryota; Metazoa; Arthropoda; Insecta; Diptera.